This is a small nuclear RNA of Ochotona princeps (American pika), 108 nucleotides long. NCBI's taxonomy places the organism in Eukaryota, Metazoa, Chordata, Mammalia, Lagomorpha, Ochotonidae. The record is from Ensembl.
GUGCUCACUUCAGCAGAACAUACAUCAAAAUUGGAACAAUAUAGAGAAGAGUAGCACGGACCCUGAGCAAGGAUGGCACACCAAAGCAAAGAAGCAUCUUCAUUCACA